RNAcentral lists this ribosomal RNA (153 nucleotides) under uncultured Planctomycetota bacterium. RNAcentral's name for it is "uncultured planctomycete partial 16S ribosomal RNA". It matches the Rfam family "Bacterial small subunit ribosomal RNA", at positions 335 to 504 of the family's 1533-position model. The record is from RNAcentral. Lineage: Bacteria; Pseudomonadati; Planctomycetota.
ACUCCUACGGGAGGCAGCAGCUGACGAAUAUUCCGCAAUGCGCGAAAGCGUGACGGAGCAAUGCCGCGUGCAGGAUGAANCGGCUUCGCCGUGUAAACUGCUGUCAGGGUGUAGGAAUACUCACCAUACCCAAAGGAAGGACCGGCUAACUCC